GAUGAACGCUGGCGGCGUGCCUAACACAUGCAAGUCGAGCGGCAGCGGGGGGUGCUUGCACCCUGUCGGCGAGCGGCGGACGGCUGAGUAACGCGUGGGAACGUGCCCCAAAGUGAGGAAUAACUGCCCGAAAGGGUAGCUAAUACCGCAUAUUAUCUUCGGAUCAAAGGAUUUAUCCGCUUUGGGAGCGGCUCGCGUCGGAUUAGGUAGUUGGUGAGGUAAUGGCUCACCAAGCCGACGAUCCGUAGCUGGUCUGAGAGGAUGACCAGCCAGACUGGAACUGAGACACGGUCCAGACUCCUACGGGAGGCAGCAGUGAGGAAUCUUCCACAAUGGGCGAAAGCCUGAUGGAGCAACGCCGCGUGCAGGACGAAGGCCUUCGGGUUGUAAACUGCUUUUAUAAGUGAGGAAUAUGACGGUAACUUAUGAAUAAGGAUCGGCUAACUACGUG
This 451-nucleotide ribosomal RNA is filed under the name uncultured bacterium. RNAcentral's name for it is "partial 16S ribosomal RNA". It matches the Rfam family "Bacterial small subunit ribosomal RNA", at positions 28 to 507 of the family's 1533-position model. The record is from RNAcentral.